AACCAUUCUCACCUGCGGCUAGACCUGCGGAAGGAUCAUUACAUUCAGUAGCCUAGCUACUUGUUUACACCCUUGUUUUUUUGCGCACUUCAUUGUAUCCCUCGGCGGGCUUGCUCGCCGGUUGGACAACAUGUAUAACCUUUUUUAAUCUUCAAUCAGCGUCUGAAUUAUAUUUAAUAAUUACAACUUUCAACAACGGAUCU
This 203-nucleotide unclassified non-coding RNA is filed under the name soil metagenome. Its description in RNAcentral is "partial contains 5.8S ribosomal RNA, internal transcribed spacer 2, and large subunit ribosomal RNA". The record is from RNAcentral.